This is a long non-coding RNA of Lucilia sericata (common green bottle fly), 668 nucleotides long. RefSeq lists it as uncharacterized. The transcript has 4 exons. NCBI's taxonomy places the organism in Eukaryota, Metazoa, Arthropoda, Insecta, Diptera, Calliphoridae. The record is from RefSeq and is a predicted model, not a curated record.
AUGUAUUGUGAAGAAAAAUAUAUUCAUCGAUUCACACUUAAACGUUGACUUUAUUGCAAUCUAAAACUCUUCCACGAACAUGCUUGAAAUUAUCAAAUAGAGCAACAGGCGAUCAACAGUUAAUAGAUACAUACAUGUAAGAUUAUACUACAGUAACGAUGAAAUGGAUUUAUAUUGGAGGAAAUGUUAUAAAUGUAGAUUUCAGCAAAUUGAGGAUCAAAGUCUUUAUCCGAGAUGUUAAAAUUAUGUCCUGAAUACAUAAAACCUUCCAUUAACAUAGAUUUUAAUCUGAAGCUAAACCAGUGAAAACCAAGUGGGUUUUUACGGAAAAUAUGUAAUUUGUUACAUCUGUUUCAGACUAAAGUACCAAACGUUUCUGUUACAACAAUGCUGAAAAAUUUGAAGUCGUGCAAUGAUGGAUAGAGGAUAUUUUCUAUUCUAUAUUUCCUCCAUUACUUGUUUCCACCUCAGCAGAAAUUAGUUACUGAAAAAGUCGGAGUCCAAACCAGAAAAAAGUUUACCGUAACAGAUUCUCUUACUUCGUUUGCCAUAGUUGCAGAAACCAAAGAGAAGCUGAAUAUGAAAUUAAAACUCCUUAAACUUCAACAUAGUACAAUCCAACCACGGUUGCUUAAAACUUAAAAAUUAUUUCUCAAUUUUAUGUUACU